GACGUGCGUAGCUUCCAUCGCUGCAUGUUAGACGAGAGGCCAGUACAACAACUGGACGACACGUUUGACUGUGGGAUGUUCGUCAUCAAAUUCAUGCAGCAACCUGAUUUAAGCCCCGGUCCACACAAGUUCGCUCCCUCUGUGCGUCAUAAGUUGUUGGUUGACAUCGUUAUGGAUGUCAAUAAUGCAAAGAUCGCAGAGUACCGGGAGUGCCUUCAUAUGAGCAAUGCCACAAGCUAGGCCAGUGAUGGGAAU
This is a non-coding RNA of Camellia sinensis, 255 nucleotides long. The record is from RefSeq and is a predicted model, not a curated record. Lineage: Eukaryota; Viridiplantae; Streptophyta; Magnoliopsida; Ericales; Theaceae.